Long non-coding RNA from Triticum dicoccoides, 2517 nucleotides. RefSeq lists it as uncharacterized. NCBI's taxonomy places the organism in Eukaryota, Viridiplantae, Streptophyta, Magnoliopsida, Poales, Poaceae. The transcript is spliced from 3 exons. The record is from RefSeq and is a predicted model, not a curated record.
CCUGUGCUUUUCCUUCUCUAAUCAGCUGUGCGGUUUCUCCGGUGAUGGUUGCUUCCGCUGCUGCUCGGUCCAGCCGCCACCGUCGGGGCCGCUCUCCUGGUAUUCGAGCCGUUGUUAUUGCCCGUGUCUGCCGUGCUGCUGGCCGUCUUUCUUCGCUGGAUUUUCCGUCACCGGCAAAUGCUGGUGUGCGUGGCCAGCUGGCUGAUUCGGGAUGCCGUGUCCGGUCCGGGGCUCGCCGGCCAUUUCGUUCUUCCCGGACUGGUGUGCACCAAUUAGAUUCGCGGCGAGAUGUUAAUGUGGACGUCGAUAGUCGCCGUCAAGAGAUUUCAUUAGGGAAGCGGCCUGUGGAUUGUACCAUUGGUGAGUGCUCUCGAUUCUUGCUGCGUGCAUGGGAGUGCCUGUAUGUGCCUCUGGCUGCUUUGCUAUGUUUCUUCUUGUUGGUUUGAUUGUUGUCUACCGUUAGUGCGGGCUCUUCUUCAGCGGUCGCUGGGUCUUUCCCGGCUGUUUGGCUUCCAGCGUGCGACCUGGUUGUUUUUUAUUUCUUCCUUUCUUGCUUAGUUUACUUAUUUCAUGCCUGUGGUGUUGUUCCAUCUAGCCAUUUGGUGUUGUGCUUAUUGGUAGGAUUCUAAUGUGGUCCAUCUAAUGGUUUCUUGCAAACACUUCGCCUGUCGAAGUGGUUGACGGAUCGAGUAUUUGUGUUUCUGGUUUUCCUGCUGGUGUUCAUCUUUAUGGCUCUUUGGUUGGUGCUACGACUUACCGUUGCCAUCCAAGAGUGGUGCCCUUAUGUGCCGCCGGUAUCUUUGGUUGGCCUACUUCUCUUGGUAAGUCCAAUUUUCUAAAUAUGCAUGUGCUUCUCUUGGGUUUUGUGGUGUUCUUUUAGGAUUGGUUCUAAUUUGUGUACUUGUUUUUCAUUUGAGUGAUGCCUACUCCUGUUACAGAGCACUCUCGUGUUGUGUGUGCUCGUCGUAAGCGGACUUUGGUGCGAUCGUACUGGUCGGGCCGGAAAAGAGGUGUUUUUUUGGUCGUUGUUCUUAUUCUUCUCCGGACGCUGAUGCAUGUGGUCUUAUGUUUUUUCUUUCUAUUUCCAAUAUGUGGGAUGCAACCUCCGUUUUCUAAAGAUUACAUCCAACUGCUUAAGGCUACUUUUAGGGGGCGUUCGUAUUAUGGUGGACCAGAUUUGUGCUGCCGGAAAUGUGGGGCUUUUUUUUAUCCUGAAAUUGUCGCCGCCCUGAUAAAUAUGCUAAAUACACAUCACCGUUUGGUGGACACGUUCAGAAUUGCUCGAUAGAGUCUGCACCCCUGGUGUUUCUAAGGUGUCCAUUCAUUUUUUUGGUGAUGACGGUGGUGCUCAUGGUACGCGUUUUUCUGGUCCUACUGCUUCUGAGGUUGCGGCGCUCAUUGUUGGUGACUUGACGCCUGAAUGUAGAAAUUUUGAUGUGGUUGCGGAAACACGUUCUGGUUCAUUGAAGCAUGUAUCUUCACUGAAUUGCAAUCUUAUGGCUUUGCAAUAUCCUAUACUAUUUCCAUAUGGUGAUAAGAGUUAUCAUCGUGGUAUUAGAUAUGUUGAUGGUAAUGAACAUUUGAUUGUUUCCCAAUGCAACUGUGUUAGUUGUGGACACUUGGAUAGCGACAAUGUUGACCGUGAUUUGGAGGAUGGGGAUGUCACCCGUGGUCAGAUUACUAUGUUGGAGUACUACAAAUACUAUGCUCACUAUCGUGAAGGUGAAAUUAAUCCUUAUACAAGUUGCAGUUGUUUGAGCUAGCAGAUUGCCGUUAAUGCAUAUUCUUGUGUAGAGGCUGGUCGGUUGGAGUACCAUUUCCAUAAACAAGAUAAACUUCAGUUUAUCGGGGCAUAUCUGAUGCAAUGGGUGUACAAUAAUAAGUGUGCUUGCAUGAAGAAUGAUUGUUGUUCCAAGUGCUUUCCAAAGCCAUUUAGUGAUGAUACAAUGGUUGAUCGUGUUGGCUAUCCGGUUUACCGUCGUUCUGAUAACGGGCUUUAUGUGCUCAGACAGAAAGACUUACUUUAUUUGGGAAAUCAAUGGGUUGUUUCAUACAACAUGAAAUUGUUGAAGAGGUUUGACGCCCACAUAAAUGUGGAGUGGUGUAACAGGACAAAUUUAUUGAAAUACCUGUUUAAAUAUCUUACAAAGGGUCAUGAUGUGGUUCAUAUGCGUUUCUACGCUCAAGAUAAACCUAGCGGUGUUUUUACUGUGCCUUCUCCUACUGGCAGAAACGAGAUUGACGAGUACAUCAAAUGUACGUUCGCAGAUAGAUUUAGUUAAAUUUAUGUAACUUGUUGUAGUGUUGUUAUAAUUGUUGAACAUAUGGCUAGGUAUCUUUCUGCUUGUGAGGCUUUUUGGAGACUGUUUGCGUAUAAUAUUCAUGGUCGUCAACCUUCCGUCGAGAGAUUGGUUGUGCAUAUACCUAAUAUGAACAGGGUCAUAUUUGCCGAGACUGAUAACCUAGGAAAUGUUUUGGAUGAUCCUUCGGCUGCUAAAACUAUGCUUACUGAAUGGU